RNAcentral lists this ribosomal RNA (253 nucleotides) under uncultured bacterium. RNAcentral describes it as "partial 16S ribosomal RNA". It matches the Rfam family "Bacterial small subunit ribosomal RNA", at positions 524 to 776 of the family's 1533-position model. The record is from RNAcentral.
UACGAACGGUCCAAACGUUAUUCGGAAUCACUGGGCUUAAAGCGUCCGUAGGCGGUCUGUCGCGUCGGCUGUGAAAUCCCGAGGCUCAACCUCGGGUCUGCAGUCGAUACGGGCAAACUAGAGUAUUGCAGGGGAGACUGGAAUUCCUGGUGUAGCGGUGAAAUGCGCAGAUAUCAGGAGGAACACCGGUGGCGAAGGCGGGUCUCUGGGCAAUAACUGACGCUGAGGAGCGAAAGCGUGGGGAGCGAACAGG